This 481-nucleotide ribosomal RNA is filed under the name uncultured bacterium. RNAcentral describes it as "partial 16S ribosomal RNA". It matches the Rfam family "Bacterial small subunit ribosomal RNA", at positions 32 to 508 of the family's 1533-position model. The record is from RNAcentral.
AAUCAACGCUGGCGGCGUGCCUAACACAUGCAAGUCGAACGAGAAAGUGGGGGAAACCCUGCGAGUACAGUGGCAGACGGGUGAGUAACACGUGAACAACCUACCCUUGAGUGGGGAAUAACACCGCGAAAGCGGUGCUAAUACCGCAUAAAAUUUCUGGGUCGCAUGAUUUGGAGAUCAAAAGCGCAAGUUGCUUGAGGAGGGGUUCGCGGCUGAUUAGCUAGUUGGUGAGGUAACGGCCCACCAAGGCAACGAUCAGUAGCCGGCCUGAGAGGGCGAACGGCCACACUGGAACUGAGACACGGUCCAGACUCCUACGGGAGGCAGCAGUGGGGAAUUUUGCGCAAUGGGCGAAAGCCUGACGCAGCAACGCCGCGUGGAGGAUGAAGGCCUUCGGGGUCGUAAACUCCUGUCGAUGGGGACGAAGGCCUCGCAAGAGGAUUGACUGUACCCGUUGAGGAAGCCACGGCUAACUCCGUGC